AUUGAACGCUGGCGGAAUGCUUUACACAUGCAAGUCGAACGGCAGCACGGACUUCGGUCUGGUGGCGAGUGGCGAACGGGUGAGUAAUGUAUCGGAACGUGCCCAGUCGUGGGGGAUAACGUAGUGAAGAUUACGCUAAUACCGCAUACGAUCUAUGGAUGAAAGCGGGGGAUCGCAAGACCUCGCGCGAUUGGAGCGGCCGAUAUCAGAUUAGGUAGUUGGUGGGGUAAAGGCCCACCAAGCCAACGAUCUGUAGCUGGUCUGAGAGGACGACCAGCCACACUGGAACUGGGACACGGUCCAGACUCCUACGGGAGGCAGCAGUGGGGAAUUUUGGACAAUGGGCGAAAGCCUGAUUCAGCCAUUCCGCGUGCAGGAUGAAGGCCCUCGGGUUGUAAACUGCUUUUGUACAGAACGAAAAGGUUUCUACUAAUACUAGGAGCUCAUGACGGUACUGUAAGAAUAAGCACCGGCUAACUACGUGCCAGCCGCCGCCGUAA
This 500-nucleotide ribosomal RNA is filed under the name uncultured bacterium. Its description in RNAcentral is "partial 16S ribosomal RNA". It matches the Rfam family "Bacterial small subunit ribosomal RNA", at positions 30 to 523 of the family's 1533-position model. The record is from RNAcentral.